GGGGAGAUGGCUCAGUGGUCAAGAGCACUGGCUGUUCUCCUAGGGGACCUAGGUUUGAUUCCCAGUGUGUCCA
RNAcentral lists this transfer RNA (73 nucleotides) under Mus musculus (house mouse). It matches the Rfam family "tRNA". From Rfam's summary of the family: Transfer RNA (tRNA) molecules are approximately 80 nucleotides in length. Lineage: Eukaryota; Metazoa; Chordata; Mammalia; Rodentia; Muridae. The record is from Rfam by way of RNAcentral.